RNAcentral lists this ribosomal RNA (1320 nucleotides) under uncultured bacterium. Its description in RNAcentral is "bacterial SSU rRNA". It matches the Rfam family "Bacterial small subunit ribosomal RNA", at positions 8 to 1375 of the family's 1533-position model. The record is from RNAcentral.
AGAGUUUGAUCAUGGCUCAGAACGUACGCUGGCGGCACGCCUAAUACAUGCAAGUCGAACGAAGUAGCAAUACUUAGUGGCAGACGGGUGAGUAACAUGUAGGUAUCUGCCCUUUGGCCUGGAAUAACACGAGGAAACUUGUGCUAAUACUGGAUAAGUCUUUACGGAGAAAGCUUUAUGCACCAUUGGAUGAGCCUGCACUUGAUUAGUUUGUUGGUGGGGUAAUGGCCUACCAAGACUUUGAUCAAUAGCUGAUUUGAGAGGAUGAUCAGCCACAUUGGGACUGAGACACGGCCCAAACUCCUACGGGAGGCAGCAGUGGGGAAUCUUGCACAAUGGAGGAAACUCUGAUGCAGCGAUGCCGCGUGAGUGAAGAAGGCCUUUGGGUUGUAAAGCUCUUUCGUCGGGGAAGAAAAUGACUGUACCCGAAUAAGAAGGUCCGGCUAACUUCGUGCCAGCAGCCGCGGUAAUACGAAGGGACCUAGCGUAGUUCGGAAUUACUGGGCUUAAAGAGUUCGUAGGUGGUUGAAAAAGUUGGUGGUGAAAUCCCAGAGCUUAACUCUGGAACUGCCAUCAAAACUUUUCAGCUAGAGUUUGAUAGAGGAAAGCAGAAUUUCUAGUGUAGAGGUGAAAUUCGUAGAUAUUAGAAAGAAUACCAAUUGCGAAGGCAGCUUUCUGGAUCAUUACUGACACUGAGGAACGAAAGCAUGGGUAGCGAAGAGGAUUAGAUACCCUCGUAGUCCAUGCCGUAAACGAUGUGUGUUAGACGUUGGAGAUUUAUUUUCAGUGUCGCAGCGAAAGCGAUAAACACACCGCCUGGGGAGUACGACCGCAAGGUUAAAACUCAAAUGAAUUGACGGGGACCCGCACAAGUAGUGGAGCAUGUGGUUUAAUUCGAAGAUACGCGCAGAACCUUACCAACACUUGACAUGUUCGUCGCGACUUUAAGAGAUUAAAGUUUUCGGUUCGGCCGGACGAAACACAGGUGCUGCAUGGCUGUCGUCAGCUCGUGUCGUGAGAUGUUGGGUUAAGUCCCGCAACGAGCGCAACCCUCACUUUUAGUUGCCAUCAUUUAGUUGGGCACUCUGGAAGAACUGCCAGUGAUAAGCUGGAGGAAGGUGGGGAUGACGUCAAGUCCUCAUGGCCCUUACGUGUUGGGCUACACACGUGCUACAAUGGUAUCUACAACAGGAAGCAAAACGGCGACGUUAAGCAAAUCCUUAAAAGAUACCUCAGUUCGGAUUGCACUCUGCAACUCGAGUGCAUGAAGCUGGAAUUACUAGUAAUCGUGGAUCAGCGUGCCGCGGUGAAUGCGUUCCC